This 171-nucleotide microRNA precursor is filed under the name Oryza meridionalis. RNAcentral's name for it is "MIR812 microRNA precursor family". It matches the Rfam family "MIR812 microRNA precursor family". Lineage: Eukaryota; Viridiplantae; Streptophyta; Magnoliopsida; Poales; Poaceae. The record is from Rfam by way of RNAcentral.
AAUAAGUUUAUUUAUGAGUUUAUGUAUGUCAACCGUCUUAUUUGAAUUUUUUUAUGAUUAGUACAUUGUUAUUAAAUGAUGAAAUAUUAAUAGUAUUUUAUGCGUGACUUAUUUUUUUAAAAAAAAUCAAAUAGGACAGACGGUCAAACAUACAGAAACUCACGACUCACG